GCCCGCGUAGCCCAACAGCAGAGGCAACGCGUCGAGAGCGCGUCCAGUGCGGGUGCGAGUCCUGCCGCGGGCACCA
Molecule: transfer RNA, 76 nt
Filed under: Verrucomicrobiales bacterium
Lineage: Bacteria; Pseudomonadati; Verrucomicrobiota; Verrucomicrobiia; Verrucomicrobiales
Description: tRNA-Leu
Rfam family: tRNA
About the family: Transfer RNA (tRNA) molecules are approximately 80 nucleotides in length. Their secondary structure includes four short double-helical elements and three loops (D, anti-codon, and T loops). Further hydrogen bonds mediate the characteristic L-shaped molecular structure. tRNAs have two regions of fundamental functional importance: the anti-codon, which is responsible for specific mRNA codon recognition, and the 3' end, to which the tRNAs corresponding amino acid is attached (by aminoacyl-tRNA synthetases). tRNAs cope with the degeneracy of the genetic code in two manners: having more than one tRNA (with a specific anti-codon) for a particular amino acid; and 'wobble' base-pairing, i.e. permitting non-standard base-pairing at the 3rd anti-codon position.
Source: RNAcentral